This 229-nucleotide long non-coding RNA is filed under the name Capsicum annuum. RNAcentral's name for it is "long non-coding RNA (CANN_LNC008852)". Lineage: Eukaryota; Viridiplantae; Streptophyta; Magnoliopsida; Solanales; Solanaceae. The record is from RNAcentral.
AUUAUUUUACUUUUUUCACCUUUUUAUUAUUUUUUAGAUUUAUUAUUCUGGGUUUAUUAUUUUCAGUUUUUUUUCCUUUAACUUUAUUUUCAUGUUUUAUUUAUUUUCAUAUUCAGGUUGGUAUUGUAGCUUCAACUGUCAUCGACUCUACUCCGUUCUGUAUUUUCACCAUCAACAGUAUACCCCUCCGUAUUGAAUUAUUUAGAAAAGCUCCUUCUCCGGCACCAGG